GGGGCUGUAGGGUAGCCAGGACGAUCCUCCCAGCUUGGGGUGCUGGUGACCGGAGUUCAAAUCUCCGCAGCCCCA
Molecule: transfer RNA, 75 nt
Filed under: archaeon
Lineage: Archaea
Also listed under: 1 other name
Description: tRNA-Pro
Rfam family: tRNA
About the family: Transfer RNA (tRNA) molecules are approximately 80 nucleotides in length. Their secondary structure includes four short double-helical elements and three loops (D, anti-codon, and T loops).
Source: RNAcentral